GGAGCGGAUUUUGGGAGAAGAUCAAGAGUUUGUUAGUUUGUUUUGGACAGGUUAAGUUUGCAAUUCCUACAUACAAAAGAACUUCAAAAAGCUCAUGGAAAUGGGUAUUAUGGGAAAAUUAUGCAUAUGCUUCAAUUUUUUUGUACCAAAAUAAACUCAUCUUUCAAACUUUUAGGAUCUAUUUGAGUUUUACCUUAUUUAUGUAUUUAGUUUAUUUGAAGGGAUGUGGAGGGAGAGAGAUUGAUUGAGAGACUGAUUCUUCCAUCCUCUGGAUCAGUCCCCAAAUGCCCACGACAGCUAGGCAUGGGCCAGGCUAGACUCACCUGCCUAGCAGGGACCCAUGUACUUGAACCAUCACCUGUUGCCUCCCAUGGUAUGCGUUUGCAUGAAAUUUUAAUGGAGAGCAGAGCCAGGACUUGAACCCAGGCACUUCAAUAUGAGAUGCAGCUGUACUAAGCAGUACCUAACUUCAGUGCCAAAAGUCCUCCCCAAAUUUACCUUUUUUUUUUUUUUUUAAGAUUUAUUUUUUUAUUUGAAAGGCAGAGUUACAGAGAGAGAGAGAGAGAGACAAAGAGAGCUCUUCCAUCUGCUGGUCCACUCUUCAAAUGUCUGCAAGCCUUGUGCUGGGUAAGGAGCUUCAUCCGGGUCUCCCGCGCAGGGGCAGGUGUCCAAGCACUUGGGCCACUUUUCACUGCUUUUCCAGGUGCAUCAACAGGGAGUUGGACCAGAAGUGGAGCAGCACCCAUAGGGGAUGGUUGGCGUUGCAGCCAGUGCCUUAAUCCACUGUGCCACAACGUCAGCCCCUCUAAACUUACCUUGUAAUCUUAUUUCCCGUGAACUUUUUGAAAUGCUCUUGUAUGUUCAAUUAAUGAUACUGAGUUGGCAUUUGGAAAGAUGACUCAUUUUUGUUGUUGUUAAAUUUGUAUGUAUUUGGGUGAGCGGUAGAGACACAAAAAGAGUGCCCAUCCUGAGAGAGGUUCACUCCCCAAAUGCCUGUAGUGAAGGGGUUGUGCCAGGGCCAAGGUCAGGAACCAGGAACUCAAACCAGACUUCCCAUGCGGGUGGCAGGGUCCCAGUUACUUGAGCCAACACCUCUACCUCCCAGGAUGUGCAUUAGAUGGAAUCUGACAUCAGGAGCAGGAGCCAGAAUCAAGACUUGGUAUCUAAUAUACAGUGAGGCAUCUCAACUGCUUCCUGGGUUCACCCCUGGGAAGAUGACUCAAGUCCAAGGGAGAGGGAUUGGCUGGAGAGAGAAAUUCAAGACCCCAUGCUGGAUGAGAUCCCCUAGGGAAGGUGAGGGGGGGCGGAUAGAGAGAAGUCCAAGGACUGAUCCAGGGCUCUCCGCAGUGGGAAGACUGGGUGGGUAUGGAGAGGUGAGACGCAGAAGGGGAGGAAAACCUGGAGACCAGGGCCGGCGCCGCGGCUCACUAGGCUAAUCCUCCGCCUUGCGGCGCCGGCACACCGGGUUCUAGUCCCGGUCGGGGCGCCGGAUUCUGUCCCGGUUGCCCCUCUUCCAGGCCAGCUCUCUGCUGUGGCCAGGGAGUGCAGUGGAGGAUGGCCCAAGUGCUUGGGCCCUGCACCCCAUGGGAGACCAGGAUAAGUACCUGGCUCCUGCCAUCGGAUCAGCGUGGUGCGCUGGCCGCGGUGGCCAUUGGAGGGUGAACCAACGGCAAAAGAAGAGCUUUCUGUCUCUCUCUCACUGUCUGCCUGUCAAAAACAAAAACAAAAACAAACAAAAAACCUGGAGACCAGGAGGUUCCUGCCUGAGCUUGGUGAGGAUAAUCAGAGUCAUCACUGGGACGUGGCCUCUCAGGGAAUGGAAGACACCAGGCACGCCCCAAACAAUAUCUGAGAUAAGGCGGCAGCCACAGGACAAGGCGGCAGCCACAGGACGAUGCGUGCUGUUCAGUACAAACAGAAACCCAGACUUCAGUGUGGCCAAUGUCUGUGUUUUCCUUUGCUGGGAACCCCACCCAGGCCCCGGCCACACAGAGUCCUUGGAAAGGAGAUGCCGCCACAGGACUUCACGCUGGGCUGAGUGCAGAUGUGAAUUUUUAGAAAUCAUUAAUUUUUAACCACACACGUGAUGCGUGAAUUAGACCAGGCAUCCUCGGUGGGCGGGGUAUCACCCUAAAAGGGUGGACGUUGAUUGGUUCUUGGGUGUAGGGAAUGUCCUAGGUCUUACAGUGGCUUAUCGCCUCAGUACAUAAACACACAUACACACAGCACGUAAAUUAGGAUUUCAUGGCACCAGGAGAGUGAUUAGGAAAGAAAUAUCUUGUAAGGCUCCUUGGAAGGGGUGCUAAUGUAAAAAGGUUAAGGAACCCAGAAUUAUUCCUCAGCCUCCCUCCCCAGAGCCCUGGCGAUUUUUGGGGUUGAUUCUUCCUUUAAAUAAAUAACAGUAAGGUCCCAGUUCUUAGCUUCUUUUUGUCCCUCUUGGUCAUGUACCUCAAAGAGAUUUUCUUGUUAGCCCCUAUCGAUUGGUGCUUAUUUCUAAGAGCUCUGUGGGAUUCUGCCAUAUGCAUACGACUUGGUUUCUGUUCCUUAGUGGAUGGGUAUUUAAGGUGUUUCCCCUCCAUCCCUCCCUCCCUCCCUCCCUUCCUUCCUUCCUUCCUUUUCUUCCUCCUCCCCUCCCUCUCCUUCCCUUUCUCUUUCUUUCUUUCCCCCUCCCUUCCCUUUCUUUGCUAUAAAAUCACCAAUGACCAUUGCAGGGUUUUGUUUCUGCUCAUGUGCCUCGGUUCAACAGCUCUUUCUGGAGGGUAGCAGAAGGUGCCCUGGGUCAUCGGGCCAAGGCUGAUUAGGCUGAAAUUUUACAAGGUGGAGAUGGGCCAACCAGGCAUCUUGCUGGAGGUCUCCUAAUCAGGCUUUGGAGCACAUGGUCUCCUUAACCCUUCUGACACUGGCAUGAGGUUGAGAUUUUACUCACAGUCCGCUCUAGCUGUGAGAUCACUGAGGUUUAUGGGGCCGGUGCUGUGGCACAGCAGGUUAAAGCCCUGGCCUGAAGUGCCAGCAUCCCAUAUGGGCGCUGGUUCUAGUCCCAGCUGCUCCUCUUCCGAUCCACCUCUCUGCUAUGCCCUGGGAUAGCAGUAGAAGAUAGCCCAAGUCCUUGGGUCCCUGCACCCACGUGGGAGACCUGGAAGAAGUUCCUGGCUCCUGGCUUUGGAUUGGCGCAGCUCCAGCCAUUGGCGGCCAUCUGGGGAGUGAACCAGCAGAUGGAAGACCUCUCUCUUUGUCUCUACCUCUCUCUGUAACUCUGCCUUUCAAAUAAAUAAAAUAAAUCUUAGAGAGAGAGAGAGAGAGCACUGAGGUUUAAAAAGGCACAAUGACUUGGCCAAGGCCACUCAGCAGGGAGUGGUAGAGUGAAGGGCAAGAGUGGGGUCUCCUGACUAAGUGUAGUGAAACUGUCCUUCUCUGGGGUCCCUAGGAUCUUUGAUCCAGUGUGCCCCAGGGGAGCUGGGCCAUGGCUUUGUCAUCAUGCUUGUCUUUUAAAUUCAGCUAUGGGGCCCUUAGUUUUCAAACAUUAGAGUGCUCAGAAUUGUUUUUAUUCUCGUUGUCACUGACUAAGCAGGAUAGGCCAACAUUUUCUUUUAAAAAAAUUAGUCCAUAAUAUAUAAAGUAGAGGUUACAAAAUGCCAUGUGUAAUAAAAUGCCAAGUGUGUGAAAAAAUGUGCAUGUGCGUGUGUGUGCAUGUUUAUAAGAGCAAUUCUGGAAGAAGGCUCAUCAAAAUGCUGCUCGUGGCUAUGGCUGGAUGAAGGGAUUAUGGAGAUGUCAAGUUCCUUUCUGGGGCUUUUCCUGGCUAGCUCCUCUGGCCAAUAUCUUUUGAACAAUGUGUAUGAAUAUUGUAAUCUGAAAAUUACAAUGCAUUAUAAAAGUGAAGUCGGAAUAAAUAUUUCGUUGGAAAGUAAAAGGAAAGAAAUGGGAAAAAGAAAAGAAGAUGUGAGGGUAUUUCAAGAGUUUGUGGAAAAUGAAACUAAAAGAAGGGUUUAUUUUGGUGCCAGCAAUUUUGAAAUCCAUGCAUAAGAUGUGUUCAAAAAGUUCGUGGAAAAUGCAUAUUAUGGGGGCUUCUUUGUUGCACAUCUGGUAAAGUCGCCUUCUGCAGUGCCGGCAUCCCAUAUGGGUGCUGUUUCAUGUCCCAGCUGCUCCAUUUCUGAUCCAGCUUCCUGCUAAAGGCCUGGGAAGAUCAGCGGAAGAUGACCCAAGUGCUUGGGCCCCUAACACCCACGUGGGGGACCCAGAUGAAGCUCCUGGCUCCAGCCUGGCCUAGUGCUGGCAAUUGUGGCCAUAUGGGGAGUGAACCAGUAGAUGAAAGAUCUGUCUCUUCCUCUCUCUCUCUCUCUCUCUCUCUCUCUCUCUCUCUUUGUGACUCUUUCAAAAUAAGUAAAUCUUUUAAAAAGAAGAUAAAUAUUAUGAAAAAAAUUAGGCAUGAAUUUCAGAGUUUUUGCACCAAAAUAAACUUACCUGUUUUUUUUUAAGAUUUUUUAUUUAUUUAAAAUGCAGAGUUACGGCAGGGGGUGGGGGGAGAGAUCUCCCAUCCUCUUCACUCCCACAAUGGCUGGAGCUGGGUCAGGCUUCAGCCAGGAGCCUGGAUCUUUUUUCAGGUCUCCCAUGUGGGCACAGGGACCCAAUACAGCACAGCACCAGCCCUGUAAGCCUAUCUUUUAACACCACUUUCCAUGAAGUUUUUGAUGUUCAGUCGUAUUAACCUAACUUGGUAAUUGUGCAAACUGAUGCCCAUUAUAAAAUUCGAGUUCUCCCUGGGAGAGAGAUAAGGGAGUUUCCUUAAGACCUCACCCAAUGGAAGGAAGCCGGUGAUCCCAGGUUCCUGGGUGCCUUUUGCUCAGAGAGCCCUGAGGCUGACCAGGGGCAGUAUUGCCUUCCUUGCCAGUAGUGUGGAGUCUUGGAAGACAGGCAGGGUCCUCUGAGUGCGGCGGGUCAAAGAUUGUGUGACCCAGGCCCCUUCCGUAGUGUCCUGUUUCCAGAUCCUGAGAGCCCUUGGCUGUCCUCCCAGAUGGGGCUCCUGUCUAACCCCCAUGGGGCAUGGUGUGGGAGGGGCAUGUGUGUUGUAAAAUGCAAGCAUCGGUCCAUUGGUUACAUUCCCUCUGGGAACACGGCUCUAUUUUAGGAUUGUCCAGAGGAAAAGGAAGGUUUGACCUUGCACAGGCGCUCUUGGCAACAAGCCAGUGAUUGCUGACCAGCAGACGAGCUGGCCUGCCUAACAAGCGAUCUGUAGAACUCGAUGCAUAAAAGGCAUUGUGGAGCAGACACGAGGGGGUGGAGAUCGAUGGCGGUGCCAAGCUGGUGCCAAGGGAACUCUUCAGUGAGGUCGAGCAAAUGCUCCCAUGGGCCUGUGCCUUCGCCAGCUUUUCCAUCUUAGAAGCAGCAAGGACAGUGUUAAAUCUUUCCUAGGAGGUUUCCUUCGAGAGAAAGACUGAUCAGAGACAUAUUGCUUUCUUUAAAAAAUUAUUUGAGAGACAGAAACAGACAGACAUAUGCACAUGCCGAGAGAGAGAAUAUGUUCUCAUCUGUUGGUUCACUCCGAGAGAGGGAGAGAGGGAGGAAGGGAGGAAGGGAGGGAGAGAGAGAGGGAGAGAGGGAGAGAGGGAGAGAGGGAGAGAUGUUCCCAUCUCUUUAUCCACUCCCCAAAUGGCUGCAGCUGCCAAGACUGGGCUGGGGCCAGAAUCAGCAGCUGAGAUCCUAAUCCGGGUCUCCCAAGUGGGUGGCAGAAGCCCAGUUACUUGAGCUGUCAUUGCCACCUCCCAGGGUUUGCAUUAGCAGGAAGCUGCAAUCAGGAGCCAGAGCUAGAGCCAGGAUUCAAACACAGGCUCUCUGAUGUGGGAUGCAGGUACCCCAACGGGCAUCUUCACUCCUAGGCCAAAUGCCCCCUGGGAGAGGGACCCUAGUUCUAAUCCUGGCUGCACGCUGGGAGGCGUAACUGGGAGUGGAUGUGCAGACCAAACCCAGGCUAAUGAAGUCAGAACAGGUGAUGCUUCCAGGUGUUUGCAGGUAGACAUUGAGACAACUUGUGCUGGGACAUCGUAGACGAUUGGAGCACUGCUAGUGACAUCUGUCAUGUCUCAGGCACACACUGCACCAGGUGACGUGCUCACUAUCUGAAUUAAUCCAUACCCAGGAGGUCAGGGUUUUGUAUUUGCUCCUUUGGCAGGUGAGGAGUGGACUUACCGACCUAAGAUCAGCCAGAAACUGGUAUCCUGUGUUUGUGCCUCAGCAGGAACCCUCAGAGUCACACAGCUGUGUGGGGCAAGUAAGGGGCUUGCUGGAGGGAUGGGGAGGCCAAGGGUGGAUCAGAGCCCAGGGCUUGUCAGCACUCAAGCCUAUUGGUAAACUGAGGCAGAAGGAUUGGGGUAAGGUGCAGGGGUGAUUUAAAAAAAAUUAGUCCUUGGGGAAGAGUGGAAACCACUGACUUAAGGGAGUAGUACAGCUGUCCCCAGCUGGCCUUACAAGGUUCUUAUCACCAGACUCAAGGAGUCAUUUGCUUCUCCAAUAGAUAAGAAUCUUGAUGGCCAGUAUUGUCCUGGAGUGAUUUAUGUAAGGGAAUUCCAGGCCUGGGCAGAAUGUAACCGUCACCUUCAUGUAACCCCCAGACCAACUGGAGCCCACCUGGCCAUCAUAAAUUCCCUAAAGGUCACAGCAUCACUGACUAAUCGAGGAGGGAAGAUCACCAUGAGCUCCACUGACCAGCCGGGAACCUGGACAUGAGCUGAUCACACAUCUCUCAGCCCCAGUUUCAGUCUAGAAGAGCCUUCGGCCCUGACUGCUCAGGGAGCCCAGGAAUGAAGCAAUAAGUCCCGGAUCCUUGCUUUGCAAUAAAUACUUUCUUCCACCAAAAAAAGAGAGAGAGAGAGAGACCUGGAGCAGGUGCAAGUGAAAGAUGUAGUGGAUAAGUGUGUUUAUUUCUUCCAGUGUGAUUCUAAUCUGUGAAUUCCUCUCUAGCAUGUUCGCAUACUGAGAUCUUUCAUUUCUUUAAAUCUCAUUUUAGUUGAUGUUUUCCUUUGCAGAUGUACUUUUUUGUCUUUUAUUAUUUAUUUUUAAAAUAUGAUCAAAUACCCAUAACAUAAAAUUUGCCAAUUACCCAUUUUAUUAAUUUUUUGAAAGCUUAUUUAUUUAUUAUUAUCUACUUGAAAGGUAGAGAGAGAGAGAUUGAGAGUUGAUAGAGAGAUCUUGCAUCCACUGAUUUCACUCCUCAAAUGCCUGCACAGGCCAGGUCUGUGCUAGCUCAAAGCCAGAUGCCAAGAACUCCAUCCAGCUCUCCUAACACGAGUGACAGAGGCCCAAGUACUUGGGCCAUCAUUGGCUGCUUCCCAGGUACUUCAGCAGGGAGCUGGACUGGGAGUGGACAAGCCAGCAUGAGGACUGGCACUCCAUUAUGGGAUGUGGGCAUCAUAAGUGGCAAUGGAACCCACUGUGCCACAAUGCCCACUGGCACCAUACCCAUUUUUAAGGGUUCAGGUCAGUGGUGUUCAGCGUUCAUAUUCACGCUGUUGUUUAGACAUUGCCAUCAUCCGUCACUACCAUUCUUCCAGCUUGGAAAACAGAAACUCUACCUACCAAACAACAAGCCCCCAUCCCCUGCUUCCGUCCAGCCCCUGGCAACCUCCUAGGGUCUCCAUUAGCAGGAAGCUGGAAUCCAGAGCUGGAGCCAGGACCCAAACCCAGGUACUCCAACAUGGAUGCAGGCCUCCAACAGGCUACAUGUUUUUUUGUUUGUUUGUUUGUUUGUUUGUUUUUGACAGGCAGAGUGGACAGUGAGAGAGAGAGAGACAGAGAGAAAGGUCUUCCUUUGCCGUUGGUUCACCCUCCAAUGGCUGCCGCGGCCAGCAUGCUGCAGCCAGCACACCACGCUGAUCCGAUGGCAGGAGCCAGGUGCUUCUCCUGGUCUCCCAUGGGAUGCAGGGCCCAAGCACUUGGGCCAUCCUCCACUGUACUCCCUGGCCACAGCAGAGAGCUGGCCUGGAAGAGGAGCAACUGGACAGGAUCCGGCGCCCCGACCAGGACUAGAACCCGGUGUGCCGGCGCCGCAAGGCGGAGGAUUAGCCUAGUGAGCCACGGUGCCUGCCAGGCUACGUGCUUUCUUGCUCUCCUUUCUGUCCCUGUGAACUGGAUUAGUGUAGGUACCUCAUGUAAAUAGAAACACAUAAUAGGGGCUGGCGCUGUGCCACCUGCAGUGCCAGCAUCCCAUAUGGGCGCCUGUUCUAAUCCUGGCUGCUCCUCUUGCAAUCCAGCUCUCUGCUAUGGCCUGGGAAAGCAGUAGAAAAUGGCCCAAGUCCUUGGGCCCCUGCACCCACGUGGGAGACCUGGGGGAAGCUCCUGGUUUCGUAUCGGCCCAGCUCCAGCCGUUGUGGCCUUUGGGGAGUGGACUAGUGGGUAGAAGACCUUUCUCUCUGUCUCUCCCUCUCACUGUAGUUCUACCUGUGAAAUAAAUGAAAUAAAAUAUUAAAAAAAAUCACAUAAUAUUUGCCCUCUUGUGAUAGGCUUAUUUUGCUCACAUUCUGAAACAUUUUUCAUAAGCUACUAUUGUAAAGCAAGAUAUGGAUUCAUAGAUAUGGUUUUGUCUUUUCUCACUGUGUAUAUGUUUGGAAAAGCAACAUGAUAAAUGGUCCAUGACAUGAAAAGAUUGAGCUUGUAAAAAAAAGAUUUAUUUAUUUGAAAGAGAGAGAGAGAGAGAGAGAAAGAGAGGAGAGAGAGAGAAAGAGAGGAGAGAGAGGUCUUUCAUCUGCUGGUUCAUACCCCAAAUGGCCACAGUAGCUGGGCCUGGAUCAGGAUGAAGGUAGUAGCCAGGAGAUUCAUCUGGGUCUCCCACAUGGGUGGCAGGAGCCCAGCUACUUGUACCACCUUCUGCUGCUUUCCUAGGCCAUUAGCAGGGAGCAUUGUGGCCAUUUGGGGAGUGAGCCACAAAUGAAAGAUCUCUCUCUCUUUCUCUCUCUGCCUUUCAAAUAAAUCUUUAAAAUAAAAAGAAUGAGUUGGGGGGGGGGAGGGCCCUAGAAAACUCAAAGGAUCAAUUAUGUUCUUUGAAUAAAUUCAGGCAGUGAUGGCCAGGAGCAGUUGGCACUGAGCAAGUAUCUGCAGGUCCCUACUGGAGAGAGGGGCUAGGAGUUCCUUUCCUUUCUGAACUGUCUGCCCAGCCCUCUCAACGUGGGCUGUGUACUCCUGAGCCAGGCUUCCUCAGCCCGGCUGCCAGAGUGAGAGGAUCCUAAGCCAAGUACAUCUCCAAAGUAACCCAGCCCGUGUCUGGGGUGUGUUUGCACCCUCAGGGAGAGGCCCUAAGGAAGGGUCCAGUGAGGAUGCUGGGAAGGGGUCUUUAUAAGUCAGGUUGGCAAAUCGGCCUGUUUCAUCUAUUACUGGAUGUUUCUGGUUAGGAUUGGAGGGCAUAUUUGAUUUAAAUGUGAAUCUUAGUGACCGAAUGGAACAACUGAGAUGUGUUGGGAUGGACCGUGGAGCGGUCAGCUGGAAGGUGUGGGAACAUGAGCCUGCAGGAAGCUCAAGUUCAAAGCCUGCGACCUUCCCUUCCCGUUGACAGGGUAGAAUUCUGUUCUGAUGACUGAGUUGAGGACAGGAUGACUGCUCACUGUAGGAGGCCUUUGUGGUUGGCUGUUGCUCAUUCUUGUUCUGACAGUGGCUCCUGAGUUUCCUCUGGGAACUCAAGGUGCAGAGGAUUUGCAGAAAGUGAGUGUUUGGGUGGAGUUGAUUUUCAGUGGAUUGGACCCAGGCUUGACCAAAUCACCCUGGCCACAGUGGACCAGGGAUGGGCAAGUGACCCAGGCUGGUUCUGAUUCCUCCCUCUCUGGGGAGAGGAGUUUAUGCAAUUGAGGAAGGAGGAGCUUCCCCUCACCAUACCACCUCUCCCUUUGUUUCCCUGGGGUCCUUCAAGCUGAGAGUAACUGUGGCCAUCAUGCAUUUGGGAAUGAGGCUAUCAAUAAAAAGAAGACAGAGCUAAGACAAUGUUUUUUGGAUCCGUUGGUACCUGAAGGCUGUGCACUCCUGAACUUCCAAGUUAGAUGAGCUGAUUGAUACCAUCACAUCUUCAUUUUGUGUGCCUGUGUGGAGGCACAGUGCUGUCUGUCUCUAAAACUGUUUUUAGAUUUCUGUGGCUUGCAGCCUACUGUGUGCUGUUGAAGGCUUGUGAUCCAGGGAGGUGCCACAUGGUAAACAUGUGAUGUGAUCUGCCAGGUGGCAAGGAUGAGCCCGGGUGGACCUGGUGAGAUGGCAGGUGCUUGCUCUGUCACAGAGAGAUUGCCAGACGGGGAGGUGCGGUUCACAGGCCCAGGGGUGGCUUUGCCUUUCAGUGAGUUGGGCACAUCUGUAUAUCUUUCUAACCCUUAGCUCCCAACAGCUCUAUAGUGGUUGACUUCAGUGAGAUCUUUGAAGAUAUAUGUGAUCUUCCCAGCUCUACAGGAUCCUGUUUUAACAGGUGUUUCACUUAAUAUCCAUAUAUUUUUUGAAAUUUAUUAAAAUAGGGCCGGUGCUGUGGAAUGGUGGGUGAAGCCACUGUGUGUAGUGCUGGCAUCCUGUAUGAGCACUGGUUCUGGUCCUGCUGCUCCACUUCCGAUUCAGCUCUCUGCUAUGGCCUAGGAAAGCAGUGGAGGAUGGUCCAAGUGGAUUGGACCCACGUAGGAGACCUGGAGGAGGUUCCUGGUUCCUGGCUUCAGAUCAGCGCAGCUCUGGCUAUUGCGGCCAUCUGGGGAGUGAACCAGCGGAUGGAAGACCUCUCUCUCUCUCUCUCUCUGCCUCUGUGUAACUCUGUUUCAAAUAAAUAAAAUAAAUCUUUAAAAAACUUAUUAAAAUAUUUAACAAACAUAUAAAAAUAAUACAUGUUUAUGGGGUACUAUGUGAUGUUUCAUUACAUGUAUACAUUGUGUGAUGUGCAGUUUUCACUAAGAAAAAAUGUUAUCAUCUAGGCUUUUUUUAAUAGAGAAAUAAAGAAGCAAUAGGUAACAUUAUUUAUCUUCACCCUACUGUGUAAUGCAACCCGAGAACUUCUUGCUUGUAUCUGGCUGUAACCUAAUUCCUGUCAAUCAACCUUUCCCGGUCCCUCUCUCUCCACUUCUUUGCCAGGCCCUGGUAACCAGUUAUAUCUUGAACUUCUUUGAUAGCACUUGUUUUUCUUUAGUUUCCACAUAUGAGUGCAAUCAUGUGAUACUUCUCUUUAUGUGCUUGGAUUAUUUUAUUUAACAAAACCAUCUCCGGUUCCAUCCGUAUUGUUAUGAAUGGCCAGAAUCCACCCUUUUUCAUGGCUGAGCGAUGUUCUCCUGUGUACAUGUCCCCCAUGUUCUUCAUCCGUUCAUCAGUGGAUGGAGCCGGGUUGUUUUCUUUUGCUGACUGUUGUGAAUUCUGCACAGUGAACUGGGAGGCAGAUGUCUCUCUGAGAGGUGAAUUUCAUGUCCCUUGGUAUAUCCCCAGGAGUGGGAUCACUCCUUCCUGUGGAAGCGCUAUUUUCGGGUUUUUUGAGGAACCUCCACAGUUUCAGUGGAACCUCCAUUCGGACACAGUGACUACCGAUUCACAUUGCCGCUCAGAGUUUGCUGGGUUCUCUUUUCUCUACUUCUGCACCAACACUUGUUCUCUGUUGGCUUUUUGGUAAUAGCCAGUCUUGCUGGAGUGAGGUGACAUCUCAUUGUGGUUUUGAUUUGCACUUCCCUGGUGGUUAAGGAGGCCGAGCAUUCUUUUCAUGCACCAAUUGGCCAUUUGUAUGUCUUCCUUUGAGAAAUGCCUGUAUAGAUCUAUGACCUAUUUUAAAAUUGGAUUUGAAUUAAGUUUUAUUUUUACUGAGCUGAAUUCUUUAUGGAUUCUGGAUAGUAAUUCCUUGUAAAUUAUUAGCUUGAGAAUAUUUUCUGACAUUUUGUAGGUUGUUUCAUUGCUUUGUUGAUUGUUUACUGGGUGAAAGCUUUUUAGUUUGAUGAAAUCCCAUUUGUCUUUUUUUAUUUCUUGUGCUUUUGGGGUUUGGUCAAGAAAAUUCUUGUCCAUUCCAAUGUCCUUGUUUUCUUCUAAUGGCUUCAAAGAUUUACAUCCACAUUGAGGUCUUUAAUCCAUGUCAAGCUGAUUUUUGUGCCUGGUGAGAGAUAGGGGUCAAGGUUCGUUCUUUGCAUGUGGAUAUCCAAUUUUCCCAAUACUAUUUAUUGAAAAGACUGUCCAUUUUCUAAUGCAUGUUCUUGGCACCUUUGUCAUGAUCCCUUAAUCAUAGGCAUGUGGAUUUAUGUCUAGGGUCUCUAUUCUGUCCAUUGAUCAAUGGAUCUGUUUUUAUGGCAAUAGCAAGCUGUUUUAAUUACUGUAGCUUUGUAAUGCAUUUUUUUUAAAGAUUUAUUUAUUUGAAAGUCAGAGUUACACAUAGAGAGGAGAGGCAGAGAGAAAGAGAGAGAGAGAUCUUCCAUCCGAUGGUUCGCUCUCCAAUUGACCACAAUGGCCGGAGCUGCGCUAAUCAGGAGCCAGGAGCCAGGAGCCAGGAGCUUCCUCCGGGUCUCCCACGCGGGUGCAGUGGCCCAGCAACUUGGACCAUCUUCCACUGCUUUCGCAGGCCACAGCAGAGAGCCAGAUUGGAAGUGGAGCAGCCGGGUCUCGAACUGGCACCCAUAUGGGAUGCCGGCACUUCAGGGCAGGGCGUUAACCUGCUGCGCCACAGCGCCGGCCCCAGUAAUGUAUUUUUAAACUCAGAUAGUAUAAUGCCUUCUGCUUUUUUCUUUUUGCUCAAGAUCAUUUUAGAUAUUCAAGAUCUUUUAUGGUUCCAUACAAGUCUUUUUUUUUUUUUUUUUUUUUGAAGUAGCAUUUAUUUUGAAAGAAUUACACAGAGAGAGGGAGAGACGAAGAGAGAGAUCUUCCAUCUGCUUUUACUCACCAAAUGACUGCAAAGGCCAGCGCUUUGUCAGGCCAAAGCCAGGAGCCGGGAGCUUCAUCCGGGUCUCCUACCUUUGGGUAAGAAACAGCAAGCUCCUGAGUCUUUGGGUGGCAGGGGCCCAAACACUUGGACCAUCUUCUGCUGCUUUUAACAGGGAGCUGGAUCAGAAGUGGAGCAGCCAGGAUCAAACCCACUCCCAUAUGUGAUGCCAAUGUCGUUACCGGCAACAGCUUUCCCUGCUACACCACAAUGCUGGUCCCAUCCAUACAGGUUUUUGUAUUGCUUUGUUUCAACAUCUAUGAAAAAUGUCAUUGGGAUUUUGAUAGUGAUCGCAUUGCAUCUGUAAGUUGCUUUGGGUAGUGUGCAACGUUUUAAUGAUGUUGAUUCUUCCAAUCCAUGACCAUGGGAUGUCUUCCCAUUUUUUUAUGUCCUCUUCAAUUUUUUCAUCAGUGAUUUAUAGUUUUCAUUGUAAAGAUUCUUCACCUCUUUGGUUAAAUGUAUUCCCAGGCAUUUUAGUAUUUUUGUAGCUGUUGGGAAUGGGAUUACUUUCUUGAUUUCUCUUUUCAGAUGAUUGGUAUGGAACAAUGUUAGUUGUACAAGAGCUUCUUAUCCUGUAACUUUGAUGAUUCUGUGUAUUCUAACAGUUCUUUGUUGGAGUCUUUGGGGUUGUCUCUAUAUAAGAUCAUGUCAUCUGCAGACAGUGGUAGCUUGGCUUCCCCCUUUCCAAUUUGGUUGCCCCUUACUUCUUUUUCUUGCCUUAAUGUCCAUAUUUUAAACAGGCAAUUGGAGUAGGUAUAAAAAUCAAAGAGAGGACAAUAAAAAUAUGCAUAUCGCCUCAAACUCCUACAAACUGCCUGAAGAUCUCUCCUUUACUUUUUUUUUUUUUUUUUUUGGACAGGCAGAGUGGACAGUGUGAGAGAGAGACAGAGAGAAAGGUCUUCCUUUGCCAUUGGUUCACCCUCCAAUGGCCACCACGGCUGGCGUGCUGCGGGCAGCGCACCGCGCUGAUCCGAACCCAGAAGCCAGGUGCUUCUCCUGGUCUCCCAUGGGGUGCAGGGCCGAAGCACUUGGGCCAUCCUCCACUGCACUCCCUGGCCACAGCAGAGAGCUGACCUGGAAGAGGGGCAAUUGGGACAGAAUCCGGCGUCCCGACUGGGACUAGAACCCAGUGUGCCGGCGCCACUAGGUGGAGGAUUAGCCUAUUGAGCCGCGGCGCCAGCCCCUCCUUUACUUUUAAAAAUAAUUUUCUACAUAAUUUUUAAAUCAGAGUACAACCUACAUGCAGGAAAAUGUUCACAUUACAAAUGUGUAGUUUGUUGCUUUUUCACAUGCUGUAGCCUCAUGUCAUGGCCAUCACACCAAGACGUAGACCAGGGCUUCAGAAAUCUCUCCGGAUCUGUAUCUCCUCCAAAGGAGACCGUGGUUUUAGUUUCUGUGGGUGUACCAUGUAUUAAUUUUACUUGCUUUUGAAUUUUACAUAGAGAGAACAUAGAGGAAGCACUUUGGGGGGGAGGUGAUGGUGAUCGGAGGUGGGGGGGAUCUGGCUUCAAUGUCGUAUUUGUGAGAGUCACCUGUUUUGUGAAUGACGGAGCUUACUCUCAUUGUUGUAUAGCCUGUCACCAUAAAGUGAUUAUACCACCAACUGUUUAUCCUACGUUGUUUUGCACUAUUAUGGAUGAUACUGCUCAGAAAGUUCUCAUAUGUGUUUUUGGUGGACCAACACUCUUUGAGUUGGGUAUAGGAUUGAUCUUCAAAAAGGCCGAGGAAAAUGUACAAGCAGAUGGAAAAUCUCUGUCUCCUACCCCCUCUGUCUCUCUGUCUUUCUAUUAAAUAAAUAAAUGCUUUAAAAAGAUUCAUGGGAAAUGUGUAUUAUGAUGGUUUAAAAAUUUUCUUGCAACGAAAUAAACUUUAAUUCCAUUUUUCCAAGAACAUUUUGAAGUCUGCGCAUGUGCACAUGUGGAGCAAGAUUGCUGUGUCACAGAGAGUGUAGAGCGUAUGUUUGGGCUUCAUAGAUGCUGCCAGAUAGUUCUCCACUGCCAGCAGCACUGAGUUCCUGUAGUUCCUUAUCUGCAUAUGCUGUUGUCUGUCCUUACUUUCAGCCACUUGAAAGGCAGAACGAGAGAGACACUGGUCAUCCACUGAUUCCUGAUUUACUUCCCCAAUGGCCAUAACAUCCAGGGCUGUGCCAGGCCAAAAUCAGGAACCAGGAACUCCAUUCUGGUCUCCCAUAUGUCAUUCUGUGAAGGCGACACUGACCAGGGUGUGGUUAAGAGGAGUGAUCACCAAUUUGUCCUGACGCCCAGGGUUCCAGUAGCCCCUGCCUUCACCAAGAGCCUGUCUGGAGUGACUGUCAUGCAUCCAUUACAUCAUCGAGGGGUCUCAUCAGGGAUCCUGGGGGGAUCGGAUCCAUAAUUGUGAAGGUAGCAAUGGCCUAGGGAAAGGGGUAUUCACUGACAUUUGGGAGAGGUAAGGGCCAGUGAAGCCCACCCAGGAGAGGCAGGAGGAGGAGGGUCCGUAAUGGGUUGGGGGACUGCGCAAAAGAAAUCCUGGUUACUGCCAGCCUCCAGCCUUACUGUCCUCCCCAACUCCAUCACCCACCUAUGCCUCCUGUUGACCAAACCCACCUAGGAGCAACCAGGAGCAGGGGCCUCCUGAGAUCCAGUGCAUCCGGGUUCAGAGUGAGUAGAAGGGGAGAGAGUAGGUGUUGAUGGGCAAGUAGGGAGUGACCAGCCCAGAGGUGUUUCUAGACCUCUCUCCCUUGUUAACAUGCAGAAACAUUUGCUCUAAGAUAGACUCUAAAAGCUUUCUUGGCCUGGGAACUGAUCUGAAAUCAAAUGCAGACGUGGGGCCGUGAGUCUUGAACAGAGUAGAUCCUUCCUCUCCUUGGCUUUAAGUCAAUGAAACAGAGGCCGAGGGGGUGCUCGUGGGCUGUGGCUGCAGGGGUUAGGAGAUGUAGGGGUGUGCUGGAGGGGCUGUGGGUUUAGCAAGUGGGGGAAGCCCACAGGAGCUCCUGAGGAUGGAGGUGCUGCAGAAGGUGCUCACUAGGAGGGUAUUACCAGGGACCAGAGAGAGAGGGAUUGUGGCAGAGCUAGGGAUGUGCCAAGCACGAAGGAACAGUCACUCAAGAGCUGGGGAAGAAGCCAGGUCAGAGUGGAGAACCCAGACUCCAGGCUGGGUAGUUGAAAAGAAAGGAAGUGGAAUGGCCGAGAGCAGAAGGUAGAAUGGGGUGGGCAUCAGCCAGGAGCUUGGGGGAGAAGAGGUUGUAUGUUUCCUGGGAGUGGCCUGGCCUUUGUCUGUGCCUCAGUGGGUUAGGGGUUCUGAGCGUAGACUCUGGGACUAGAGUGCUGGAUUCGAUUCCAACUCUGCCACCAUCUAGCUGUAAGUCUGUGGGUAGAUGACUUAACCUCUUGUGUCUCAGAUUUCUCUUCUGAAAGUGGGACCAUUAUAAUGCGUAUCUCUCUCGGGGUUAUUUUGAAGGUCAAAGGAGUAAGUGCACACAAAACUUAGAAGUACCACUUUAUGGUUUAAUUUCCAGAUUCUCCAGCACCAUCCCAAAGGCUGCCUCUGAAUUUUAAGGACUAACUGGGCUGGUUUUGGGGUGGGUGGGGGUGGGGAGGAGAGAAAAGUGGUACCACCAGGGAAGAGGGCAUGGGUGGGACGCCUAUCCUUGAGAUAACAAUGGGACACGGGCCAAGGAGCUUGGCUGGAGCUGGUGUCUCUAGGGAGGCUGGCUGCUUGUGACAGAGGCAGUUAUUUGAAGCGCUCCAAUCAUUUACACAUUAGUGUGAUUAUUAGGGACAGUUGGGUUCUGAAUAGGGCAAAGUCAGGGAGAGCAUGAAGACCUGGGUAUCAGGGGGAGGGGUUCCUGCCACUCACAGCUGGAAGUCCUGGCUCUCUUUUCACUUCUCUCCUGGAAGGUGGCAAUGAUCCUCUCUUGAGUGUUUUGCAAGUAAAAUGUCACAAGCAGAACACUGUAUUUGAAAUGUGCAUGCAACAUCUUCCUACAGUCACACACCAUGCUGCCAUUAAAUGAUGCAGAAGAAUAUUUAAUAAGGCAAAAGUCACACCAAGCAACAAUGAACGUGUGUCAGUUUUGCAUUUAGAAAAUGAUGCUUGGAAGAAAUUUCACAUCCAGGAGUGCCUAUAAAUCAGCACUGGGAACUGCAGAAGCAGCCUGCAACCAGGGACUUCUGUAUCUUAUUUAUCAAACACUGACAGAGUACCUGCUGUGUGCCAGCCAUUGUUUUAGCCCUUUUAAUUCUAACAGCCACUUCCUGGGAUAGUCUGUACCAUUGUACCCACUUUACAGGUGAGGAAGCUGAGGCAUAGAGGUAGCUUGCUUGCUGUCACACCAUGAUGGCAUCUGGAUUCAAAUCCUUCAGCCUCAUGCCUGAGUCCUACUACACUGCACUGUGCUGCAGCUGCCCACCGGUGUUUAUUGACCAUUGCUAGCCCCAAGGAGGAAGGUUGUCUUAUAUAUUUUUAUUAAAAAAAAUUUUUUUUGACAGGCAGAGUUAGACAGUGAGAGAGAGAGAGACAGAGAGAAAGGUCUUCCUUCCUUUGGUUCACCCCCCAAAUGGCUGCCACCGCCAGCGCUGCACCUAUCCGAAGCCAGGAGCCAGGUGCUUCCUCCUGGUCUCCCAUGUGGGUGCAGGGCCCAAGGCACUUGGGCCAUCCUCCACUGCCCUCCUGGGCCACAGCAGAGAGCUGGACUGGAAGAGGAGCAACUGGGACAGAAUCUGUUGCCCCAGCUGGGACUAGAACCUGGAGUGCCGGCGUCACAGGUGGAGGAUUAGCCAUGGCGGCGGCCAAAGGUUGUCUUAUAUUAAAAAGACUCACUGCUUACUUUUACCAGUGCUUUUUUUUUCCUUGGGUAUUUAACCAGUUAAGGGAGAUAAAGAAAUGGAAGAAAGGCAAAAAGACAAGACAGAAAAGAGGCAAAGGAGAUAAGGGCGGGGAGUGGGAGAAAGGAAAAGAAAAAGCUGAAGAGCCGGCGCCGCGGCUCAGUAGGCUAAUCCUCUGCCUUGCGGCACCGGCACACCGGGUUCUAGUCCCGGUCGGGGCACCGGAUUCUGUCCCGGUUGCCCCUCUUCCAGUCCAGCUCUCUGCUGUGGCCCGGGAGUGCAGUGGAGGAUGGCCCAAGUGCUUGGGCCCUGCACCCCAUGGGAGACCAGGAGAAGCACCUGGCUCCUGCCAUCGGAUCAGCGCGGUGUGCCGGCCACAGCGCACUGGCCACGGUGGCCAUUGAGGGGUGAACCAACGGCAAAGGAAGACCUUUCUCUCUGUCUCUCUCUCUCUCACUGUCUACUCUGCCUGUCAAAAAAAAAAAAAAAAAAAAAAAAAAAAAAAAAAAAGCUGAA
Molecule: non-coding RNA, 18204 nt
Organism: Oryctolagus cuniculus (rabbit)
Lineage: Eukaryota; Metazoa; Chordata; Mammalia; Lagomorpha; Leporidae
Source: RefSeq, a predicted model, not a curated record